AGGAGAAGGGGGGAAGUGGGGGAAAUGGUAGUAAAGUUUUAUAAGACACGUCUCUCUCUCUCUUGCUGCAGAUACCUCCCGAACUCAAAAGACAUGUCCACCCAUCUCCCUUGCCUUACCUCUCUUCUCGGCAAGGUUGGGAGAUGCAGGAAUAAAGGAUCCCUAUCCCUGAAUUCGGACCUUACUUCAUCGUGGCUCUCACUUCCACACCCGCCCGUACCUCUGCUCCCUCCACCGCCAAGUCGCCAAUAUUUCUGAUGCCAGAGCCUCAACAUUAUGCAGAAUUUAAUUACAUUCCGUUUUCAUCGAUUCAUAGGUUUUUGGAAGAAGCAGAGGAAAUUACCCCUGCCCAUGGCUCCCUGAAUCUCUCGUAUACAAGUCAGAUGCCAUGAAAAUCAUCCCUGUCCAUGGCUCCCUGAAUCUCUUCGAUACAAGUCGGAUCCCAUCGAAAUCAUCCCUGCCCGUUAUCCCAGAUUUCAUUCACAAGGUCAGAAUCUAAACUUCAAUCUCAAGGACAAAUUUGUGAUCAUUUACAAUAAUUCCUGGUUCAUUAGUUUCUUCUCUACCUGUAUAAUUUAUUAGAUCCUAUCAUCUACCGGAGGAGCUAAAAAGAAUUAUCAGUCUUCAUACCCCUUACUGCCCACUACAGAGUGGUUUUCUAACUUUGUACAUGGUUGGGAUUUUGCUCGUGAGAGUAGACUUUCUUAGCAAAUUAUAUUCAUACUGUUCUGAUAUUGAUUAAUGUUUCUCUGCUGUUAUUCCCAUAGAAAAAUAGUUGACUACUUAAGUAGCAACUGGAGUACAAACAUGAAUAUUUUGAAAAAUUAGAAAAGCUUCAUUUUUCUUACUCUAUUAAUCCUUGGAUGCAAUUUUGAUCCAAUAAGUGAUCCCAUAUCUCUCUGUUUGUUAAAAUUGUACAAUUGGGGUACUGUCUUACUUUAAUGGCUCUCCAUAAUAGAUCAUCAUUUCCUCCUCAUGGGUUUUAAUUUUUGGAACACUUUCUAUUCGGCAUAUCAAGAGGAGAAGCUAGAUUUAACAAACCGUUUCAGAACUUAGUAACUUAGAUGAAAAAAACAUUGAAGUGAGCACAUGGAUUCAAAAUAUUAAAAUUCCUAUUGAAGUGUUAAAUGAUUUAUAUCACUCUAGAUUCUCCACUAAGUGACUUAAAGUGCAUUCUUUCAAUUUCAUGGGCAUAGGUGCUUAUGGGCAACUGUAAGGAUUACUAACUUAAAAAAAUAAAAAAGAAAAGAAGAAUUUCUGUUGAAGAUAA
Macadamia integrifolia is the source of this 1270-nucleotide long non-coding RNA. RefSeq lists it as uncharacterized. NCBI's taxonomy places the organism in Eukaryota, Viridiplantae, Streptophyta, Magnoliopsida, Proteales, Proteaceae. The record is from RefSeq and is a predicted model, not a curated record. The transcript has 2 exons.